AGUGAACGCUGGCGGUAGGCCUAACACAUGCAAGUCGAACGGCAGCACAGUAAGAGCUUGCUCUUACGGGUGGCGAGUGGCGGACGGGUGAGGAAUACAUCGGAAUCUACUUUUUCGUGGGGGAUAACGUAGGGAAACUUACGCUAAUACCGCAUACGACCUACGGGUGAAAGCAGGGGAUCUUCGGACCUUGCGCGAUUGAAUGAGCCGAUGUCGGAUUAGCUAGUUGGCGGGGUAAAGGCCCACCAAGGCGACGAUCCGCGGCUGGUCUGAGAGGAUGAUCAGCCACACUGGAACUGAGACACGGUCCAGACUCCUACGGGAGGCAGCAGUGGGGAAUAUUGGACAAUGGGCGCAAGCCUGAUCCAGCCAUACCGCGUGGGUGAAGAAGGCCUUCGGGUUGUAAAGCCCUUUUGUUGGGAAAGAAAAGCAGCAGGUUAAUACCCCGCUGUUCUGACGGUACCCAAAGAAUAAGCACCGGCUAACUUCGUG
RNAcentral lists this ribosomal RNA (492 nucleotides) under uncultured bacterium. Its description in RNAcentral is "partial 16S ribosomal RNA". It matches the Rfam family "Bacterial small subunit ribosomal RNA", at positions 29 to 507 of the family's 1533-position model. The record is from RNAcentral.